CCUACGGGAGGCUGCAGUGGGGAAUAUUGGACAAUGGGGGGAACCCUGAUCCAGCCAUGCCGCGUGUGUGAAGAAGGCCCUCGGGUUGUAAAGCACUUUCAGUGAGGAAGAACGCCUGGUGGUUAAUACCCAUCAGGAAAGACAUCACUCACAGAAGAAGCACCGGCUAACUCCGUGCCAGCAGCCGCGGUAAUACGGAGGGUGCGAGCGUUAAUCGGAAUUACUGGGCGUAAAGCGCGCGUAGGUGGCUUGAUAAGCCGGUUGUGAAAGCCCCGGGCUCAACCUGGGAACGGCAUCCGGAACUGUCAAGCUAGAGUGCAGGAGAGGAAGGUAGAAUUCGCGGUGUAGCGGUGAAAUGCGUAGAGAUCGGGAGGAAGACCAGUGGCGAAGGCGGCCUUCUGGACUGACACUGACACUGAGGUGCGAAAGCGUGGGUAGCAAACAGGAUUAGAUACCCUUGUAGUA
RNAcentral lists this ribosomal RNA (465 nucleotides) under Vreelandella stevensii. RNAcentral's name for it is "partial 16S ribosomal RNA". It matches the Rfam family "Bacterial small subunit ribosomal RNA", at positions 338 to 795 of the family's 1533-position model. The record is from RNAcentral. Lineage: Bacteria; Pseudomonadati; Pseudomonadota; Gammaproteobacteria; Oceanospirillales; Halomonadaceae.